AGAAUCAACGCUGGCGGCGUGCCUAACACAUGCAAGUCGAACGAGAAAGUCCGCAAGGAUGAGUAAAGUGGCGACCGGGUGAGUAACACGUGACUAACCUACCUUUUAGUGGGGGAUAACUCCGGGAAACCGGGGCUAAUACCGCAUAACAUCGCAAGAUCAAAGCAGCAAUGCGCUGGAAGAGGGGGUCGCGGCUGAUUAGCUAGUUGGCGGGGUAAUGGCCCACCAAGGCGAAGAUCGGUAUCCGGCCUGAGAGGGCGCACGGACACACUGGAACUGAAACACGGUCCAGACUCCUACGGGAGGCAGCAGUGGGGAAUUUUGCGCAAUGGGGGAAACCCUGACGCAGCAACGCCGCGUGGAGGAUGAAGUCCCUUGGGACGUAAACUCCUUUCGACCAAGACGAUAAUGACGGUACUGGUGGAAGAAGCACCGGCUAACUCUGUGCCAGCAGCCGC
RNAcentral lists this ribosomal RNA (458 nucleotides) under uncultured bacterium. Its description in RNAcentral is "SSU rRNA". It matches the Rfam family "Bacterial small subunit ribosomal RNA", at positions 26 to 518 of the family's 1533-position model. The record is from RNAcentral.